Molecule: ribosomal RNA, 255 nt
Filed under: Triticum aestivum (bread wheat)
Lineage: Eukaryota; Viridiplantae; Streptophyta; Magnoliopsida; Poales; Poaceae
Description: partial small subunit ribosomal RNA
Source: RNAcentral
CAGUGAAGGACUCUCGUAGGUAUCUCCCAAUCCAAUUUUCCUUAAUCCACCAGCAGCAGUUAAAGCAACUUCACCAGAUGUGCCUGAGAAGGCAUUACACUGGAUCCAGUACCACUUCCUGGGGAACCCCCCACCCCAGUUCUUCUCUGAGUAGGAGGGAGCAUUUUCAAAUUCAAACCGUUCUCCAUCCCAUUCUAUCCAUCCUGGAAAGUACUCACACAUCACAGAAACCAACAUAACUCAAUAAUAUGGAUA